Non-coding RNA from Microcebus murinus (gray mouse lemur), 558 nucleotides. The record is from RefSeq and is a predicted model, not a curated record. Lineage: Eukaryota; Metazoa; Chordata; Mammalia; Primates; Cheirogaleidae.
UCCAGGUAAAGAGCUGACUGCCCAUGGACAGGGGCUGGAGAAGCAAACUUCAAGCAGAUGAAGUUGGCUGAAUAAAGAAUGGAGAGGUUAUCAUGCAAGCAUAACAAGUCUUCAAGUCAUAUUCCUGUAACUCAUACACGGAAGUCUGGGAGAAGAAUAGUUAUCUGAAGUCAGCAAAGAGUAGAAAAGAAGAUCUCAAAAGGGAAUUUGGGAAAUCUAGCAGAUUCUAUCAAACUGGAGGUUACACAAAGUGUAUCUGCUCUCUGGCCUUCUACCUCCUCCAUCUCUUUUGCCUUGGCCACCCCUGAGACAGCAAGACCAACCCUUCCUCUUCUUCCUCCUCCUCCUCAGCCUAUUCAAUGUGAAAAUGACAAGGAUGUAGACCUUUAUGAUGAUCCACUUCCACUUAAUGAAGGACCAACCAGAUGAUCUAUCUUAUUAAAUCUAUUUCAUGGAGAAUGAAGAGCUUCCUGGAGUCCCCAUCUAGUCUCAGAUCCUGCUUGACUAUCCAUUUUCUGCAGAAGGAGACAAUUUUUGCUCUUGUGACAGUGUCAUUUU